RNAcentral lists this ribosomal RNA (462 nucleotides) under uncultured bacterium. RNAcentral's name for it is "bacterial SSU rRNA". It matches the Rfam family "Bacterial small subunit ribosomal RNA", at positions 29 to 507 of the family's 1533-position model. The record is from RNAcentral.
AUUGAACGCUGGCGGCAUGCCUUACACAUGCAAGUCGAACGGCAGCACGGGAGCAAUCCUGGUGGCGAGUGGCGAACGGGUGAGUAAUAUAUCGGAACGUGCCCAGUCGUGGGGGAUAACGUAGCGAAAGCUACGCUAAUACCGCAUACGAUCUACGGAUGAAAGCGGGGGAUCGCAAGACCUCGCGCGAUUGGAGCGGCCGAUAUCAGAUUAGCUAGUUGGUGGGGUAAAAGCUCACCAAGGCGACGACGGGUAGCCGGCCUGAGAGGGUGACCGGCCACACUGGAACUGAGACACGGUCCAGACUCCUACGGGGGGCAGCAGUGGGGAAUCUUCCACAAUGGGCGAAAGCCUGAUGGAGCGACGCCGCGUGAGCGAAGAAGGCCUUCGGGUUGUAAAGCUCUGUCUGGAGGGACGAAGGAAGUGACGGUACCUCCGGAGGAAGCCACGGCUAACUACGUG